AUUGAACGCUGGCGGCAGGCCUAACACAUGCAAGUCGAACGAGUGGCGGACGGGUGAGUAAUGUCUGGGAAACUGCCCGAUGGAGGGGGAUAACUACUGGAAACGGUAGCUAAUACCGCAUACCAUCGGAUGUGCCCAGAUGGGAUUAGCUAGUAGGUGGGGAAACGGCUCACCUAGGCGACGAUCCCUCGCUGGUCUUAGAGGAUGACCAGCCACACGGGACCUGAGACACGGUCCAGCCUCUUCCGGGAGGCAGAAGGGGGGACUAUUGCACAAGGGGCGCAAUCCUGAUGAAGCAAUGCCGCGUGUAUGAAGCAGGCCUUCGGGUUGUAAAGUACUUUCAGCGAGGAGGCGUUACUCGCAGAAGAAGCAUCGGCUAACUCCGUGCCAGCAGCCGCGGUAAUUC
This 406-nucleotide ribosomal RNA is filed under the name uncultured bacterium. Its description in RNAcentral is "partial 16S ribosomal RNA". It matches the Rfam family "Bacterial small subunit ribosomal RNA", at positions 30 to 526 of the family's 1533-position model. The record is from RNAcentral.